AACAUUUAAACAUUUAAACAUUUAAACAUUUAAACAUUUAAACAUUUAAACAUUUAAACAUUUAAACAUUUAAACAUUUAAACAUUUAAACAUUUAAACAUUUGAACAUUUAAACAUUUAAACAUUUAAACAUUUAAACAUUUAAACAUUUAAACAUUUAAACAUUUAAACAUUUAAACAUUUAAACAUUUAAACAUUCCAAUAUCAAUUAACAAACCCAACUUUACACUGAACCUGUUCAGCCGACGCUCAUGCAACGAACGCACCGUUACACCAAGUUACACUGAACCCGUGCGACGCUCCUGAAACGAACGCACCAUGGUUCGAGCGAGCUGUCACUUUUUUUACUCGCGCGUGUCCGAUCAUGUUCGUGUUGACGGUGUUUGCUGAAGUUUUAGGGGAAACCCGGAUUUUUCGCGUUGAGGCGGUCGUUUAAGCCAAUUGGCCACAUCCGGCGAUUGGCAAUCAAGUUGCCGAACGCGAUCCUAGUAUUGGUGGACGGAUGUUCGAAGUUCGAAUUGGAGCGGCUCCGGGAUGGCGGAACUUUGGGGACUUCUUCCACACGUUUCCGGCAGAAAAAAUCUGCCGAGUCACCGAUCCGGAAAAGCAAAUUUGAAAUUGUCAACCAUUUUGGGGACUUCUCCCACCGGGUUCGCUAACGGGACACAACCCAACGGAUGCGUUCGAUUGGGAGAGGACCCGGCGCCUGCUGCGGUCACUUUCGGCCGUGUUUGUUCCGGAUGGUGAGCUCGUCUCGCCUGGAGGCGAAAAUCGUUAGGGGCUAAUUUCACUAAGGAUUGUGCUUCUAGAUUACGCGAAUGUCUAUCCCAAUUACGAAGCAGUUGAUCCGGCACCGGCUACGGACAUUCCGAAUAAUUUCAAACAGUGCGGAUUGAAGCGGAAUAACAAAAGAAAACGACACGGAAAAAAAGUGCUAAAUUAAGUGAAAUUAAAGAAAACGAUAAAAAUACAAUAAAAUUUACCAUAUUGACCAUUAAUUUCAAUGUAUAAAUAUAUGUUUUACAGUACAAUUUAGUGGAGAAAAAAAAAUAAAUACAAUGAAAAUACAAUGAAUCAUACUGUAGUUAUUAUUUAUUUCAAUGUACGAAUAUAGUUUAAACCGUACUAUUUAGUAUGGAAAAAUCCAUGAAGAACUGUGAAUCUACUGUGCAAACCAUUGUAAUGGUUACUGUUUUUAUUAUAAAUGUAUGAUGUUUUCUAUGAUAAGGGUAAUUUUUUGGACGGAAAAGGCAUCAAUGAAAAUACGGUAGAAUAUAUAGUUUUUGGUUUUUUUUUGUAUGGGGAAAAGUCGAAAUUUUUAUGGUGACUGUGCCUAACAAUACCCCUUUUUUAUAGUAAUUUCCCAAAAUAAGAUAUAUUCUAUGGUGAAAAAACAUAAAGGCUACUGUAGAAUCAUGGUAAAAAUAACCAUAGAAUUUAUCGUGUGAUAACCAUAAAAUCUAUUGUUGGUUUAUAGUAAAACUUUAUGCGGGACCGGCUACAAACAUUUCGAACAACGUCAGAAAGUUCGGAUUGAAGCAGAAUAUUAAAAGAAAACGACGCGGAAAAAAAGUACUAUUUUUUUUAAAUCUACGAAAAAAACUAUAAAAAUACAAUAAAACUUACCAUAUUGACCAUUAAUUUUAAUGUAUAAAUAUAUGUUUUACAGUACAAUUUAGUGGAGAGAAAACAAUAAAUACAAUGCAAAUACAAUGAAUCAUACUGUAGUUAUUAUUUAUUUCAAUGUACGAAUAUAGUUUAAACCGUACUAUUUAGUAUGGAAAAAUCCAUGAAGAACUGUGAAUUUACUGUGCAAACCAUUGUAAUGGUUACUGUUUUUAUUAUAAAUGUAUGAUGUUUUCUAUGGUCUGGGUAAUUUUUUGGACGGAAAAGGCAUCAAUGAAAAUACGAUAGAAUGUAUAGUUUUUGGUUUUUUUUUUUGUAUGGGGAAAAGUCGAAAUUUUUAUGGUGACUGUGCCUAACAAUACCCCUUUUUUAUAGUAAAUUCCCGAAAUAGGAUAUAUUCUAUGGUGAAAAAACAUAAAGGCUACAGUAGAAUCAUGGUUAAAAUAACCAUAGAAUUUAUCGUGUGAUAACCAUAAAAUCUACUGUUGGUUUAUAGUAAAUCUUUAUGCGGGAAAACUUUUCCAUUAGCUUUAUGACCAUAUUCAUAAUUGUAGACAUUAUCUUCAACUUUGCAGUAUUUUUUUUAACUUCAUUAGAGUAAAUUUCAAUCUAAACUGAGAUUUGUUUAUAAGUUCAAUACAAUUUCACAUGUUUUUAAACCAAUUCACUAUCAAGUUUGUUUUUGACGACGUCUGAGUUAAUUUUAGCAGUCGAGUGAAGCUAUGUUAGAGAUAUUAUUAUUAAAGGUUUUUCUAUUAGGUACUUUUUUACUCCAUUUUGGAGAAAAGGUAAACUCAUUGAUCUAUGCUUAUUCUUUUGUGUGAUAGUUAUCAAAAUUUCAAAAUCAUUCAAUUGAUUUUUUUUUCAAUAUUUUGUGAAUGUAUAUUUUUAAAUAUACAUAUUUUCCGACCAUGAGAAAGCACACGGGAAUAUUUAUUUUUCUUAUUACUUGGGUAAAUAUGAAAACAUACCAAAACUUGUAUGUUGACAACAGUAAAACUGAACCAUGUUAUUCCAACGGUAAAAGAAUUCCAAAAAAUAAAACCAUUUCAGUAUCAGGUUGGAGUUUAUGGAUUUUGCAACAUUGCUUGAAUACCGAAACAUGUUAUUGACAUGGUUUUAUUUUUUGGUAUUCCCACGCCCUUUGAAUAUCAGAUUUUGGUAUUGCUGUCGUCUUCUACUUACAACAUUUUGGUAUGAAUUCAUGGUAUUUUACUAUCUAUUACUGGGAAUCCAAGGGCACAAUUUGGUCGGUGUCAUUUACUUCAGUAAUACCUAUAUUUUCUAUUUUCGUGUCGGUUUUCUUUGUCCAGUAUUUUAUUUCUGCGACUGUGAAAAAUCAAAACACAAGAAAUAAAACCUCUUAGUUUCUUAUGUCUCAGGAAAAUCUAGAUAAAUGAUGAUUCCAAUUUGUCCACAGUGAUAUUCUUCGCCACAUCGAAUACAUAUGGGUCAUUUCCCCCACACAAAGGUACAAAUUCGAAAUAGACUUUUUUCUGAUCAAGCUCAAAUUUGGCCAAGCUAUUUAUACUAUCAAAACAUGCAAGAAACUUGAAUUUCUGCUAAAUUCGACCAUCCCUUCUUUUUUGGCACCGCCCCAGAGUAAUGCGAUUUUUGCCAAUUAUCCAAAAAUAAUACUCCUGUUCAGUGUUGCAAAUGAGUGAUAGAAAAGCUAUCAAUUGAUUAUCUCUACACCAAAAACAUCCGAGAGUAUAGCGGCCGUCACUAUAGCUUGAGAGAUCUCUUCUUGUAUCUCGUGAUUCGCAGCGAUGUCAUUCUCUCUCUAUCACUCCUCCCCUUUUCCUCGACUGUACGCUCUCACCACUGAGUCUCUCAAUCUCUCCGAAAACUGCAAUGAAAGAACGCGAGAUGGCUAUUAGAAGCCGACCACGCAUGACGUCCCUUAAAACUGCGCUUGCAGAAAUUGGUUUUGUGCCGGCUUUUAUGGUUCAACGCUGUGAGGGUUGGAUGAUCGUGCAAGCGGGAAUAAGAGAUAAAAGGAAAAUGUCAAUCGCGAGUUUGUAAACACAAAAACGUGUUCGGCUAUGUUCGGCGCUGAGAGUUUCAAUAAGGAGAGAAGAGCAGUUGACCUAUAGAUGUUAUGGUACCAAAUUUUUUGUAAUUAAAAGACGCAACUUUUGGUACCCAGACAUGUAUAGGUCAUCGCUGAAAUUUUAAAGUUAUCGCAGUUUUAGUGAAAAAAGUUGAUUUUUUGCCGAUUUUGUCAUUCUCCGGUUUGCGCGUCGAAAAACACGGAUUUUAUUUUCAAAAAAUCAUAUCUCGGAAUCCUGUUAAUGAACUCCUCCCAUUUUUUUAGUAUGUUAUGUAAAAAUGUCCGGGGAAUCCGAUAAAAAUAUUUCCAGACAUAGGCUCUUUGGUCCAGACACCGCCAAAACGGCAUUUUAAAGUUUCAUACGCCCUUUUCAUAUGUUAGGUUAGAUUUUUGAAACUUCUUACUAUUUUUCUUCGAAAGGUCAACUUAUUACCUUUCAUUUGCGUAUAAGACAAUUGAAAUCGGUUAAAAUGGCGAGGAGUUAUGAUUUUUCAAAAAAAUUGGUUUUUGCGAAAAUCGACGAAAAUGGCCAUUUUUCAGACCACCCUAACACAGCGUAGGUCACCCUAAUGGCCAAACAAAAAAAUACGGGUCUAAUUAUUUCGGCUAGGGAACCCCCAGAAAAAUUUUGAGCCCGAUCCGAGCACUUUUGUUUUUUUCCAUGCUGUUUUCGUGGGGAAUUGCUGUAUAUAGGGUAUAUGGCCCUAUUUUGGACCUACUAUGCAAAGCGUCAACACAUUUCGCAUGGUUCUCAGGAACGGUCUAACUAAUUUGGCUCGUUUCAGGAUUGUUUUGUGCCUUAAUUUAUGCUUAACAAAGUGUACUAUUGAAAAUUGAAAAUAAUUUAACCAUUUCAUUGUAAUAAGCAUUUCAAGUAAAACAUUUUUUGGAUGCUUUUUGGACUUAUUGAAUGUAUUUUGGAGACAUCGCUGAACCUAUUUUGGACCCACACUCUGAUUGGUUGAAAUUUGGACAACUCGAAUUGCGGCGUGCGGCGGCAACACGCACACUUACAAAAAACUCAGUUUGAUAAACCAAAGGGCCGAUUGUAAUUUGGAAAAUAUUAAUUUCAGAAAUUAAAUAAUUAUGAUAAAACAAUGGAUUUGAAUUUGAAAACGUGUUUUAAUUAUAUUGAAUGGAAACUCACGCAUCUUUAGCAGAUAUUUACAAUUUGCGUAUUCUUACGACCUAAUUGUUCAAGCAUUAGAACAUGAAAGACAACCCGUUAUCAGUCGCAAUAAAAACAUCUUAACUUAAAAUCAAAUGAAUGACAGAGAUACAUAACAAGUUACAAUGAAAAAAGGUUCUCAAUUUUACGCAGAGCUUAAGUUCAAAUAUGAUUAAACAAUGAAGAAAUUUUAAAGGGAGAUUAUAGCUUGUAACUCUUCAUUUUGCGGAAAAAUCUCAAACCUAUCAAAGUCACCCAGAUUUUCGGUAAUCAGAUAUGUCCCAAAUAAUAAAAUUCAUAAAGUUAACAUCGUAUUAACCUCUUAUGCUAAUUUUUAUUUUUCUAGCUGGUUCAAUUGUGUUUCUAACAUGAUUGACACGGUUAAAUCUAAAAGUGUAAUUUAUUAUAAUUCCAACAGGGUAGCCAGUUUGCAUUUUUUGAAGCAAAUUUUAAAAAUAUAUGCAGCUAAAUUGGUGAUAAUGAUGUUAAGACAAACAUGAAUCAACAUCAGUUUAAAUUUUGGGAUACUUUGCAAUCGGUCCUUACAAUCAUCUAAAUCUCUAUCAUCAAUUUGCAUUUUUAUCGUUUAAAAAACACAUUUUGAUUGUUUCUGUUAAUCAUUUGCUUUUUAAAGCUUAGAUUUUUUUCAAAUAAUUACAGUAAAGAAAUGCAAUUCAAAAUAUUAAAUUUAAAAUUUCAAUUAAUGUUAAUGAAAUAUCGAAAUAAAUUGAUAAACAAAACUGGCAACACCUUGUUAUACAUGUGUUGGUGAUAGCCUUGAACCGACGGCAAAGUAGCUCCAAAAACUGAUCCAACGCGGCUGAUUUGAAAAAAUAUUUUGAAUUGAGUUUUUUUCGAUAAUAGAAUAAUUAUUUCAAUGGUUUGGUGACGAAAAACACAAAAGAAUUAAAUAGACAACAGUUACAUUGCUCGGAAACCGGACGAAAUUGCUUGGUGUCAGUGCAAAACAGAAAAAAUCAUCAAGGUGUCGCGAGCCAAAUCCGAUAAGCAACGAAACCGGAAUAUUUGGACCUAAUCGAUGUGCUAGGAAAAUGUUAGGCAAUACUGAUGGCAUUGGAAAAAGUGGCUGAAAAAGUGGAAAUAAUCAAAAAUGUUAACAUUUUUGGAAGAGGUAAGCUACAAAACGAUCCUGCUUACACUUUCUGUUGGUUGGAUUCAGUGAAUUCGUACUUUAAAAGCCUGAACUACCUCGAUUAAUAAAAAUAGGUCCAAAAUAGGUACUAGGUCCAAAAUAGGGUCAUAUACCCUAUAUAUAUAUAUAUAUAUAUACAGCAAUUCCCCACGAAAACAGCAUGGAAAAAAACAAAAGUGCUCGGAUCGGGCUCAAAAUUUUUGUGGGAGUUCCCUGGCCGAAAUAAUUAGACCCGUAUUUUUUUGUUUGGCCAUUAGGGUGACCUACGCCGUGUUAGGGUGGUCUGAAAAAUUGCCAUUUUCGUCGAUUUUCGCAAAAACCACUUUUUUCGAAAAAUCAUAACUCCUCGCCAUUUCAACCGAUUUCAAUUGUCUUAUACGCAAAUGAAAGGUGAUAAGUUGGCCUUUCAAAGAAAAAUAGUAAGAAGUUUCAAAAAUCUAGCCUAACAUAUGAAAAGGGCGUAUGCAACUUUAAAAUGCCGUUUUGACGGUGUCUGGACCAAAGAGCCUAUGUCUGGAAAUAUUUUUAUCGGAUUCCCCGGACAUUUUUACAUAACAUACUAAAAAAUGGGAGGAGUUCAUUAACAGGAUUCCGAGAUAUGAUUUUUUGAAAAUAAAAUCCGUGUUUUCUGACGCGCCGCGCGCAAAAACCGGAGAAUGACGAAAUUGGCAAAAAAUCAACUUUUUCACAAAAACUGCGAUAACCAAAAAUUUCAGCGAUGACCUAUACAUGUCUGGGUACCAAAAGUUGCGUCUUUUAAUUACGAAAAUAAAAAUAUUUCCAGACAUAGGCUCUUUGGUCCAGACACUGUCAAAACGACAUUUUAAAGUUUCAUACGCCCUUUUCAUAUGUUAGGCUAGAUUUUUGAAACUUCUUAUUAUUUUUCUUUGAAAGGCCAACUUAUCACCUUUCAUUUGCGUAUAAGACAAUUGAAAUCAGUUAAAAUGGCGAGGAGUUAUGAUUUUUCGAAAAAAGUGGUUUUUGCGAAAAUCGACGAAAAUGGCCAUUUUUCAGACCACCCUAACACGGCGUAGGUCACCCUAAUGGCCAAACAAAAAAAUACGGGUCUAAUUAUUUCGGCCAGGGAACCCCCAGAAAAAUUUUGAGCCCGAUCCGAGCACUUUUGUUUUUUUCCAUGCUGUUUUCGUAGGGAAUUGCUGUAUAUAUAAAAAAAAAUCGACGGUAUUGUUCGAACGCGAAUCAAUUCAACACGGAACGUCAGAUCGAGGUACUCUUUGUUGCGUUAGGUUCGUAUAAGUCCAAGGAAGGUUCUUCCGACAAAAAGUUGCAACUUUGGCCACUCUGGAACCGAUUCCGGAAAAUCUGCAGAUUGUAGGGGAAAAGUUACGUAAAAUCAAAUUUUGAUCACAGGAGGCUGAAUAAGCAAAAAAAAGUUAAAAAAAAACCCGAUUUAAUAUCACCAGAGGUAAAAUAGAGCCUUUCUUACAAAAUGAUGAAACUCGGAGAAAUAUAUUGGUGCAAUUAAUUAUUCAAAAACAUAAUGAUACCAUCCAGUGAGAAUUUUACCUAAAGCUUCGAAUCUUUUUAGGCUAAACCUCAAAUGCCAUUUUUUUUAAUUUCGGAAGUACAUUAUUUGUCGCAAGACAUUUAAAUUUAAUUAAGAAAAACAUAUUGGAUUGACAUUAUUAGAAAAAAAUAAAGGGUACUCAGUCCAUAAUGUUAGUCUAUGAUUAACUAAAAAAAAAUAUGUAUCGCUAUUGCACUUUGUCGAUCAAUUAUGAGAAGCCAGAAAGAACACUUUCACGCGCAGCGUAAAACGCGCAAGCGUAAAAGCGCUGGCGUUGAAGCUUCGACUUGACGACUUGUCGAGCUUUCGAGCGAGAACCUCCAAAAAUGGCUAUGACCACAUUUACUGGUCGAAAAUUGUGAAUCGAAAAAUAAAAUGUUCGUCUCCGACCCCACGGCUACAGAUCUGGCUUUUAAAAAUUGUGGGUUUUACGAGCGGUUUUCCAGUGAUGGAAGACACAAAUUUUUAAGAGCGGAUACAGACAUCGGCCAUGUAUUUCAGAAAAAGAGCUCUCAAAAAUCAAACUUUGAGUUCCGGGUUUCGGACCAAAAUUCAAUCGAAAGAACGCAUCUAAACCUUCAAUUGAGUAAUAGGAUUUUUUCCUGGGACGAAUCCUCGCCGUGUACGAAUUUUUUUAGAUUUCUGAAAAAAGCGUUUUUCCAAAAGCAAACCUUAAACCUUUCUUUUGUAAGAAAGGCAAAAAAAGGCAGAACGAAGUUUGUCGGGUAAGGCUUGUGUAUGUAUGUAUGUAACGCGUGGUCACUACCCUGUUUGAAAAAUGUCGCACGUCGUGCGAGCUGUCGCGCGGUUUUGAUUUUACCGUUUCGAUAUCGAUUGGUCGAAAGGACGACAAACGGACGACAAACACUCGACAUGCCCGACAUUGUUUUUUCCAUCGAUUUUCCUUCAAUUUGACGUCACGAUUUUCGUCGACGCAGUUUGACAGUUCUCUUCAGUUGGUCUUGUUUGGACUUGAUCAAAUCAGAGAAACUUUGAACCGAAUCGAACCAGUUUACGUUGUUGAAAAGUUCGUGUGGAUUUUUGCCGGUUGAUUGAUUUUCUGAUUUCGGCCUUCGUGGUGGAGGAGGAGGAGAACGGGUCACAUCGUUGCUCCGGCGGGCCAUGCCGGAAGACGGGAAGGGGAGCACCCGGUCUGUGAUCGAGGAAGCGGAUUGGUGUUUAACUUUCCGCGGGAUGUGGCGGUGCAUGGUUUUUAUACGGUAACCAAAAAUAUUCCAAUCGAAUCCUGCUGACAACCCAGCGUUUCCGUAUUGUCCCACGGAACGGAAGCUGUAACGAUCGCAAAAACACCUGCACUGGAAGUGCGUAUACCAACGUUGUCCCGUAGGCCAUCAAUCUGUGAGAAUUAAAUAGAAGCGCCGCUCCAGUGCCGUAUCUACACGCUGGUGUCGACUCCAAAAGAUGGCUGACAAAGUCCGGCCAAGAUGCCGAAGCGACGAGAUGAGCUGAAAGGCCAAUCGGAAGACAACGCCAAAAACCACGUGAAGAUCGCGACACACAACAAGAAAAAUUAAUGAAUGUUUGUGAAAUCGAGUGAAAAAGAUUAAUUAACAGAAAAAAUAUAUCUAAAAAUAAUUUAAAAUAUUUUUUCUUUUAUUUUUACUGCAACAUAACCUAAAAAACAGCACACGACAAAGGCACGACAACCUAAAUAACAAAACCGUGCGACGUCGGUCGAAUGUCGUACGACAAUGUCGAACAAUUUCGAUGAUCGAUCGCACGACAAAUACGACAUUUUGGUGCAAAAACGUAUGACAUUCGUGCGAAAGUCGCACGACAUUGUCGUGCGACGUCGUACGGUUGCACGGACGACAAACGACGGACGUCCGACGGACUUUUCAGUCAGGGUAGGGAAGGAAUGACCCAUAUUCAAUAUGCUUUCAACCGAGAUCAUUUUGUUUUUAUUUCUUGCAAAGCAUUUUAAAGUGUUUCAUACAUUUUCGAUACAGUCCUUAGUAUAUUUGGAGUUUACCACUUAAACUUUUUUUUAAAUAAUAUACAACUGGAUAUGCUCGGUUUGAAUUGUUACUACAACGAUCAAUGGCUGGAAUACACUGCGGCUCCACAUCUACAUCGACAAACCGGUGAGAGAACUGAACACAAAAAUAAAUCGCUAUGAAAUUCUACAAGCCUUCUAAAGUACAGGCGAUGUUUU
Molecule: long non-coding RNA, 9704 nt
Organism: Culex pipiens pallens (northern house mosquito)
Lineage: Eukaryota; Metazoa; Arthropoda; Insecta; Diptera; Culicidae
Exons: 6
Source: RefSeq, a predicted model, not a curated record